This 616-nucleotide ribosomal RNA is filed under the name uncultured bacterium. RNAcentral describes it as "bacterial SSU rRNA". It matches the Rfam family "Bacterial small subunit ribosomal RNA", at positions 395 to 1003 of the family's 1533-position model. The record is from RNAcentral.
UACCGCGUGUGUGAAGAAGGCCUUAGGGUUGUAAAGCACUUUCAAUUGGGAGGAAAACCUACCGGUCAAUACCCGGUAGCUUGACAUUACCUUUAGAAGAAGCACCGGCUAACUCCGUGCCAGCAGCCGCGGUAAUACGGAGGGUGCGAGCGUUAAUCGGAAUUACUGGGCGUAAAGCGUGCGUAGGCGGUUCGUUAAGUCAGAUGUGAAAGCCCUGGGCUCAACCUGGGAACUGCAUUUGAAACUGGCGGACUAGAGUUUAGUAGAGGGGAGUGGAAUUUCAGGUGUAGCGGUGAAAUGCGUAGAUAUCUGAAGGAACACCAGUGGCGAAGGCGACUCCCUGGACUAGAACUGACGCUGAGGUACGAAAGCGUGGGUAGCAAACAGGAUUAGAUACCCUGGUAGUCCACGCCGUAAACGAUGUCGACUAGCCGUUGGGCCUAUAUACAGGUUUAGUGGCGCAGCUAACGCAUUAAGUCGACCGCCUGGGGAGUACGGCCGCAAGGUUAAAACUCAAAUGAAUUGACGGGGGCCCGCACAAGCGGUGGAGCAUGUGGUUUAAUUCGAUGCAACGCGAAGAACCUUACCUACCCUUGACAUCCAGAGAAUCUGUUAG